This is a non-coding RNA of Pelobates cultripes (western spadefoot toad), 85 nucleotides long. NCBI's taxonomy places the organism in Eukaryota, Metazoa, Chordata, Amphibia, Anura, Pelobatidae. The record is from the annotation of a GenBank genome assembly.
GUGACAGAGUGAGAGAGGGGGUGACUAGUGACAGAGUGAAAGAGGGGGUGACUGUCACUAGUCACCCCCUCUCUCACUCUGUCAC